CCGUGUGCUCAGGGAGGAUGGAGCGUCGAUCUAGGUCGAUCUCUCGCACUCUCGAGGCGUCUCGUUUCCAAUUCGUGAAUGUGGAUGUGCUCUGAGCAUAAAUGCUGGGACCCGAAAGAUGGUGAACUAUGCCUGGUCAGGUCGAAGUCAGGGGAAACCUUGAUGGAGGACCGUAGCGAUUCUGACGUGCAAAUCGAUCGUCGGAACUGGGUAUAGGGGCGAAAGACUAAUCGAACCAUCUAGUAGCUGGUUCCGUCCGAAGUUUCCCUCAGGAUAGCUGGCGUCGAUCAACUCAGUCUCAUCUGGUAAAGCGAAUGAUUAGAGGCAUUGGGGUCGAAACGAUCACAACCUAUUCUCAAACUUUAAAUGGGUGAGACCUCCGGCUUACUCGAAUGAUGAAGCCGGAGAUACGAUGACGGUGCCAAGUGGGCCAUUUUUGGUAAGCAGAACUGGCGCUGUGGGAUGAACCAAACGUAGUGUUAAGGCGCCCAAAAAAAUGUUCAAAGAUACCAGAAAGACGUAAGUCAUAUAAGACAUCAGGACGGUGGCCAUGGAAGUCGGCAUCCGCUAAGGAGUGUGCAACGACUCACCUGCAUAGGAUGGCUUGCUCUGAAAAUGGAUGGCGCUCAAACGUUUUGCCUAUACACUACCGUUACGUACAUGUGCGACGUCUUUGUGAUGUCAUUAAGUCGUAACGAGUAGGACGUGCGCGGCGGAGAGCGCAGAAGGGUCUGGGCGUGAGCCUGCCUGGAGCCUCCGUCGGUGCAGAUCUUGGUGGUAGUAGCAAAUACUCCGGUGAGGGCCUGGAGGACUGACGUGGAGAAGGGUUUCGCGUAAACAGUAGUUGUUCGCGAGUUAGUCGAUCCUAAGCUCUAGGAGAAAUCUUAUGUUGAUGAGGCGUGUUUUUUCUAAAAAUGUUACAUCUUGAUGGUACGUUCGAUGAUAAGCAACGCCCUCUGAGCGAAAGGGAAUCCGGCUUUUAUUCCGGAACCCGGCAGCGGAACCGUUUCAAUAUUCGUGCUCUCGUUUCACAACGAGUGUUCGACGGGGUAACCCAAAAUGGCCUGAAGACGCCGCCGAAAGGUCUGGGAAGAGUUUUCUUUUCUGCCUGAGCGUUCGAGUUCCAUGGAAUCCUAUAGAAGGGAGAUAUGGUUCGGAACGCGAAGAGCACUGCGCUUGUAGCGGUGUCCGGAUCCUUUCUGCGGACCUUGAAAAUUCAGGUGAGGGAUGUACGAGGAGAUGUCGCGCCGGUUCGUACCCAUAUCCGCAGCAGGUCUCCAAGGUGAAGAGCCUCUAGUCGAUAGAAUAAUGUAGGUAAGGGAAGUCGGCAAAUUAGAUCCGUAACUUCGGGACAAGGAUUGGCUCUGAGGAUCGGGGUGGUCGGGCUUGGACAUGAAACAGGAGUGCUAGCUUGCUUGACUUUACGCACGCGCCUCUCGGGGUGUGUUUAGUACUUGCGGUUGGGACUUUGGUCGAAUAUCCUUGCUUUGAAAGCCGACUCAGUUGCGCCACAAGCGCGACCGACGAGGUCUCUUCGAUCACCGUUCACCGGUCAGCUCAGAACUGGCACGGACAAGGGGAAUCCGACUGUCUAAUAAAAACAAAGCAUUGCGAUGGUCCUAGCGGAUGUUGACGCAAUGUGAUUUCUGCCCAGUGCUUUGAAUGUCAACAUGAAGAAAUUCAAGCAAGCGCGGGUAAACGGCAAGAGUAACUAUGACUCUUCAAAGGUAGCCAAAUGCCUCGUCAUCUAAUUAGUGACGCGCAUGAAUGGAUUAACGAGAUUCCCACUGUCCCUAUCUACUAUCUAGCGAAACCACAGCCAAGGGAACGGGCUUGGGAGAAUCAGCGGGGAAAGAAGACCCUGUUGAGCUUGACUCUAGUCUGGUACUGUACGGAGACACGAGAGGUGUAGCAAAGUGGGAGGUCGUUGAGGCGAUCAUCGCUGAAAAACCACUACUCUCAUUGUUUCUGUACUAACUCGGUUAAGCGGAAGCGGUGCGUUGUCAAUUAUAGCGACAAACGUACUGGCUUUUGUGAUCCAAGCGCAGAAAUAUUGAACCUAGUGACUCCACCGUCACUCUUGUUCAAGCUCCGCGUGAGCCGGUUCGAGGACACUGCCAGGCGGGGAGUUUGACUGGGGCGGUACACCUGUCAAAUAAUAACGCAGGUGUCCUAAGGCCAGCUCAGCGAGGACAGAAACCUCGCGUAGAGCAGAAGGGCAAAAGCUGGCUUGAUCCUGAUGUUCAGUACGCAUAGGGACUGCGAAAGCACGGCCUAUCGAUUUUCUUGUGUAAAGAGUUUUUAGCAAGAAGUGUCAGAAAAGUUACCACAGGGAUAACUGGUUUGUGGCAGCCUAGCAUCCGCAGCGACGUUGCAGUUUGAUCCUUCGAUGUCGGCUCUU
RNAcentral lists this ribosomal RNA (2401 nucleotides) under Spodoptera frugiperda (fall armyworm). Its description in RNAcentral is "eukaryotic LSU rRNA". It matches the Rfam family "Eukaryotic large subunit ribosomal RNA", at positions 708 to 2892 of the family's 3401-position model. Lineage: Eukaryota; Metazoa; Arthropoda; Insecta; Lepidoptera; Noctuidae. The record is from RNAcentral.